GAAUUUGGUGAGAAAGAAGAUUAAGAAGAGUCGAAGAUGUAUGAGAGUACGAAAAAGAUUUGGGUACAAUUAAUAACUGCCCUUCGCACAGCGACGUUGCCUUUUGAUCCUUCGAUGUCGGCUCUUCCUAUCAGAAUUCGUUGGAUUGUUCACCCACUCAUAGGGAACAAGGCCUGGGGUUUAGACCGUCGUGAGAGAUCAGUUAUGACCUACUGAUGGAAUGUUGUUGCAAUAAUUAUUGUACGAAAGAAACAGUUCCUUCUUGUCUUAUGGCUGAACGCCUCCAAGUCAGAACCCGCGCUAGAACGCGACGAUUACUGCGUUGACCAGUUUGAGGUGAAUACGAAUAGACCUACGGUCCUGAACAUUACGAGUGUGUGGUUAUUGUUGGUGAGCAGGAAAGGCUCUAAGACAUUCAGUAGAAUAGCUUUGUUGCUGUCAUCUCUAUUUCACCUUUUUUUUCC
This is a ribosomal RNA of 464 nucleotides. It matches the Rfam family "Eukaryotic large subunit ribosomal RNA", at positions 2391 to 3399 of the family's 3401-position model. The record is from Rfam.